AAGUCGUAACAAGGUUUCCGUAGGUGAACCUGCGGAAGGAUCAUUCAUAAUAAGUGUUUUCUGGGCACUUUUUAAAAAUACCAUACCCACCUUGUGUGCAACGUUUGGUGUAAUACGAGAUUUUAUCUUGUGUUGCACUAUCUACACCAACCUUUUACAAUUUUUAAAUCAAUUUCGUCUUAAAAAUAUUAUGAAUACUUAAUUCAAAAUACAACUUUCAACAACGGAUCUCUUGGCUCUC
This 241-nucleotide unclassified non-coding RNA is filed under the name Necromortierella dichotoma. Its description in RNAcentral is "Mortierella dichotoma partial internal transcribed spacer region". The stretch from base 1 to 46 matches the Rfam family "Eukaryotic small subunit ribosomal RNA", at positions 1786 to 1831 of the family's 1831-position model. Lineage: Eukaryota; Fungi; Mortierellomycota; Mortierellomycetes; Mortierellales; Mortierellaceae. RNAcentral also lists the same sequence under 1 other name. The record is from RNAcentral.